ACAAGGUUUCCGUAGGUGAACCUGCGGAAGGAUCAUUAAAGAGAGGGGCUUCGCGCUCCAGGGGACCCCGGUCCCCGCCUCUACCACCCCGUGAUUACCUUACCUCUUGUUGCCUUGGCGGGGGCUUACCCCGCCAGCAGCCCACCGAAACUCGUUUGAUCCAUGUCCGUCUGAACCGAAUUCAUAAUGAAUCAAAACUUUCAACAACGGAUCUCUUGGUUCUGGCAUCGAUGAAGAACGCAGCGAAAUGCGAUAAGUAAUGUGAAUUGCAGAAUUCAGUGAAUCAUCGAAUCUUUGAACGCACAUUGCGCCCCUCGGUAUUCCGGGGGGCAUGCCUGUUCGAGCGUCAUUACAUCACUCAAGCGUAGCUUGGUAUUGGGUCCUUCGCCCGGGGCUCCCCUGCGGCGUGCCCGAAAAGCAUUGGCGGUCCGGUGUGACUUGAAGCGUAGUAAAUUUUCUCCCGCUUUGCAAGCCUCGCGCCGCGGCCGGCCAGACAACCCCAUUUAUACCUCACGAUUGACCUCGGAUCAGGUAGGGAUACCCGCUGAACUUAAGCAUAUCGGGGACCCCGGUCCCCGCCUCUACCACCCCGUGAUUACCUUACCUCUUGUUGCCUUGGCG
This 621-nucleotide ribosomal RNA is filed under the name Ramalina intestiniformis. RNAcentral's name for it is "eukaryotic LSU rRNA". The stretch from base 196 to 349 matches the Rfam family "5.8S ribosomal RNA". The record is from RNAcentral. Lineage: Eukaryota; Fungi; Ascomycota; Lecanoromycetes; Lecanorales; Ramalinaceae.